UACGAAGGGGGGCUAGCGUUGCUCGGAAUCACUGGGCGUAAAGGGUGCGUAGGCGGGUCUUUAAGUCAGGGGUGAAAUCCUGGAGCUCAACUCCAGAACUGCCUUUGAUACUGAAGAUCUUGAGUUCGGGAGAGGUGAGUGGAACUGCGAGUGUAGAGGUGAAAUUCGUAGAUAUUCGCAAGAACACCAGUGGCGAAGGCGGCUCACUGGCCCGAUACUGACGCUGAUGCACGAAAGCUAGGGGAGCAAACAGG
Molecule: ribosomal RNA, 254 nt
Filed under: uncultured bacterium
Lineage: Bacteria
Description: partial 16S ribosomal RNA
Rfam family: Bacterial small subunit ribosomal RNA
Source: RNAcentral